This 1241-nucleotide long non-coding RNA is filed under the name Homo sapiens (human). RNAcentral describes it as "HSALNT0336496". Lineage: Eukaryota; Metazoa; Chordata; Mammalia; Primates; Hominidae. The record is from RNAcentral.
UUUCCCCUAAGCCAAAAUGAGUCAUAGCUGCAAGCUAAGGGAUUGAAACUUCAACCAAUCAAUGGGGACUUUCCCCUAAGCCAAAAUGAGUCACAGCUAUAAACUAAGGGAUUGAAACUUCAACCAAUCGUAUAGGGGGUUUAAGCUCUAGCUGCAGCCUGAUGUUUUUAACCAAUCAGGCCCGCCAACCUGCAAGCAGAUAGAAAAUAAGCUAAUCCUAUAGGACAGAAAAAGGAAAAGGGGAGGAGUCAUAAGUGGAUAUAAGCAUAAGACACCUAAGCCAGAAAUGGCAACCCUUCCAGUUCCCCUUCCACUGUGUGGAAGCUUUACUUUCACUUUUGCUUUACUUUGGCUUUAAUAAAUCUUGACCCAGCACUCUCUUUAGGUCUGCAUGCUUCUCAAAUUGAGCUGUAACACUCACUGCUGCGGUCCAAGCCUUCAUUCUUUGAAGCCCGUGGAACCACAAACUCUUCAAUUGAUAAAAACCUUCGAUCGGAAGAGACUUCUCAUCUCAUUUCUGGGGGCCUGUCCGGGAUUUCUCUGAAGUGAAUAGAAUCCAUGAAACUGCAAGUGGUUCUACAAAUGGAGCCCCAAAUGACCACCACUAGCACCUACUAUCGAGGACCCCUAGACUGACCUACCAACCUGUUCUAACACCACGACACUGAAGAAGACUCCCCUCCUGAGGAACCCUCAACUGCAGAUCCCCUUCUGUGCCCCAGUUCAGCAGGAAGUAGCUAGAAUGAUCAUUGCCCAACUUCUCAACAGCACUUGGGCUUUCCUGUUGAGAGGGGGUACUGAGGCACUAAGUGGCUAAGUUAGCUAGACUUCCUGGGUCAACAGGGACUUCCCUAAGGGGACAUUCCUCUAAGCCAAAAUGAGUCAUAGCUGCAAGCUAAGGGAUUGAAACUUCAACCAAUCAAAGGGGACUUUCUCCUAAGCAAAAAUGAGUCACUGCUGCAAACUAAGUGAUUGAAACUUCACCCAAUCAUAUAGGGAGUUUAAGCUUUAGCUGCAGCCUGAUGUUUUUAACCAAUCAGGCCUGCCAACCCACAAGCAGAUAGAAAAUAAGCUAAUCCUAUGGGACAGAAAAAGGAAAAGGGGAGGAGUCAUAAGAGGAUAUAAGCAUAAGACACCCAAGCCAGAAACGGAAACCCUUCCGGGUCUCCUUCCACCACGUGGAAGCUUUACUUUUGCUUUUACUUUACUUUCACUUUAAUAAACCUUGGCGCUGCACACUC